Pseudopipra pipra is the source of this 919-nucleotide long non-coding RNA. RefSeq lists it as uncharacterized. NCBI's taxonomy places the organism in Eukaryota, Metazoa, Chordata, Aves, Passeriformes, Pipridae. The record is from RefSeq and is a predicted model, not a curated record. The transcript is spliced from 2 exons.
CUCCUUAUGUAAGGGGGGUACUUUUGAAUUAGAUGAUCAAUGGAGCAUAGAGGCGUGAGAACGAAAUCAUAUUAGGAUGUGAAACCAGCUAGAGUAUGGUACAAUGUAACUUAUGGCAGAAGCUAAUUGUAAGGUCCAUUGUGCUUUUUAGCAAGUCAGCUUGAUAUCCCCUAUUAUCAGAGCUGAGUUUUUUCUUGGUUUUGCUACAUAUUGCAAGAUAGAUACAUCUACCCUUGAAACACAAUGGUAGAGGUCAUACAUAGGGGUGAGAAAGAUGAUGAUGGGAGGAAGAUGAUGUGGGCAGGGGUCGCUCGCCCCUUGCCCUAGAAGUAGGGCAUGCGCAGACUGUUGCCAUGAGGUAAUGAUCAGGCGGUGUUUGGCUGCCAUUCAGGCAUCACCUUAUACUACGUACUGGCCCUAUGUAGUGUAAUGUGGAACUGAUAAAAAUGGGGUGUUGGAACUGCUGAGCUGAGCGAUACUCAUCCUACCACCGAGACUGUGUUGCUCCGCGGGGACGCCCGCUAAGCAUGGGUACCGACCAGCUGCUGCAGAUCCUGACAGCCCUGGCCUGUCUGUGUGGGUAAGCACAGUUUUUUGAUAGGAAGCAACUGAGAGAACAAAUUUUUUAAUAACCUUUUAGUGUUCCUUUAACUCCCCUUUUAUGUUUAUAGUAUUUUUCCUUUAGUCUCCCUUUUUACUAACCAACAUCGUGUUAUCCAUAAUAUUGUGUUAAGAUCCUUUUUUGGUAUCCCUUUUCACUAGUUAAUACUGUAUGAAAUGCUGUUCGUAGUAUUUGUUUUAAUGCCACCCGAUAAGGUAGUUAUUUUGUAUCCUUUUUUAGUUUUUUAUUCCUCUUGCUAAGUUUAUUACUAUUAUUAUUAUUCUCACUGUAAUAAAAGAUAUUUUGUGUGCUUGAGUA